UGAACGCUGGCGGCAGGCCUAACACAUGCAAGUCGAGCGGAAACGACACUAACAAUCCUUCGGGUGCGUUAAUGGGCGUCGAGCGGCGGACGGGUGAGUAAUGCCUAGGAAAUUGCCUUGAUGUGGGGGAUAACCAUUGGAAACGAUGGCUAAUACCGCAUAAUGCCUACGGGCCAAAGAGGGGGAUCUUCGGACCUCUCGCGUCAAGAUAUGCCUAGGUGGGAUUAGCUAGUUGGUGAGGUAAUGGCUCACCAAGGCGACGAUCCCUAGCUGGUCUGAGAGGAUGAUCAGCCACACUGGAACUGAGACACGGUCCAGACUCCUACGGGAGGCAGCAGUGGGGAAUAUUGCACAAUGGGCGAAAGCCUGAUGCAGCCAUGCCGCGUGUAUGAAGAAGGCCUUCGGGUUGUAAAGUACUUUCAGUUGUGAGGAAGGGGGUAACGUUAAUAGCGUUAUCUCUUGACGUUAGCAACAGAAGAAGCACCGGCUAACUCC
This 495-nucleotide ribosomal RNA is filed under the name uncultured bacterium. RNAcentral describes it as "bacterial SSU rRNA". It matches the Rfam family "Bacterial small subunit ribosomal RNA", at positions 30 to 504 of the family's 1533-position model. The record is from RNAcentral.